AGCCACAAGUUUAUAUUUGUGGUUGAACCUGCCCAAUGUGGAAAGAAUGAAUGGCCGCGGUACUCUGACCGUGCUAAGGUAGCGUAAUCAGUUGGCUUUUAAAUGGAGUCAGGAAUGAAUGGAUUUACCGGGCUUAGCUGUCUCCAAGGUAUUAUAUUGAAUUUACUGUUUAAGUGAAAAAGCUUAAUUUUAAAAAAGGGACGAGAAGACCCUUAGAAUUUUUUCUAUUUUAGUGUAUUACUUUUAAGGUUGCUAAUAAUGAUUUUAUUGGGGCGAUAAAGAAAUAAUUUUUAACUUUCUUUGAAAUACAAGCCGAAUAUAUUAAGAGAGGAUAAAUUACCUGAGGGAUAACAGCAUAAUUCUAUAAAUGAGUUUGUGACCUCGAUGUUGGACUAGGAAACUGAUAAGCUAGGCGCUUAUUUUGUGGGUUCUGUUCGAACUUUUAUUCCU
This 450-nucleotide ribosomal RNA is filed under the name Tritoniopsis frydis. RNAcentral describes it as "partial 16S ribosomal RNA". It matches the Rfam family "Bacterial large subunit ribosomal RNA", at positions 1829 to 2597 of the family's 2925-position model. Lineage: Eukaryota; Metazoa; Mollusca; Gastropoda; Nudibranchia; Tritoniidae. The record is from RNAcentral.